This is a long non-coding RNA of Oncorhynchus tshawytscha (Chinook salmon), 528 nucleotides long. The record is from Ensembl. NCBI's taxonomy places the organism in Eukaryota, Metazoa, Chordata, Actinopteri, Salmoniformes, Salmonidae.
GUGCAGUAGGGCCAGGGGACAUUAGGUCCAGGGGUCAGUAGUUCCAGGGGGCAGUAGGGCCAGGGGACAUUAGGUCCAGGGGUCAGUAGGUCCAAGGGGCAGUAGUUCCAGGGGGAAGUAAGGCCAGGGGGCAGUAGGUCCAGGGGGCAGUAGGUCCAAGGGUCAGUAGGUCCAAGGGGCAGUAGUUCCAGGGGGCAGUAGUUCCAGGGGGCAGUAGUUCCAGGGGGCAGUAGGUCCAGAGGCCAUUAGGUCCAGGGGUCAGUAGUUCCAGGGGGCAGUAGGGCCAGGGGCCAUUAGGUCCAGGGGUCAGUAGGUCCAAGGAGCAGUAGUUCCAGGGGGCAGUAGUUCCAGGGGGCAGUAGUUCCAGGGGUCAGUAAGGCCAGGGCGCAGUAGGUUCAGGGGGCAGUAAGGCCAGGGGGCAGUAGGUUCAGGGGGCAGUAGGUUCAGGGGGCAGUAGUUCCAGGGGGCAGUAAGGCCAGGGGGCAGUAGGUUCAGGGGGCAAUAGGUUCAGGGGGCAGUAGGUUCAGG